GCCAGAGUGAUGAAAUUGGUAGACAUGGGAGAUUCAAAAUUUCCUGCCCGCAAGGGCGUGCCGGUUCAAGUCCGGCCUCUGGUACCA
This 87-nucleotide transfer RNA is filed under the name Gammaproteobacteria bacterium. RNAcentral's name for it is "tRNA-Leu". It matches the Rfam family "tRNA". Rfam says of the family: Transfer RNA (tRNA) molecules are approximately 80 nucleotides in length. Their secondary structure includes four short double-helical elements and three loops (D, anti-codon, and T loops). The record is from RNAcentral. Lineage: Bacteria; Pseudomonadati; Pseudomonadota; Gammaproteobacteria.